GAAAAAUGGCAGCUGCUGCAUGAGUGAACUUGUGCAGUAGAGUGUACCUAAAGGAAAUCCAAACUGUGCCCUCCAUCUUGUGGGUGAAAACAUUCACACAGAUACAGCAUUAUCUAAAGAAGUAGGG
Molecule: long non-coding RNA, 127 nt
Organism: Nanorana parkeri
Lineage: Eukaryota; Metazoa; Chordata; Amphibia; Anura; Dicroglossidae
Exons: 3
Source: RefSeq, a predicted model, not a curated record